GACGAACGCUGGCGGCGCGCCUAACACAUGCAAGUCGAACGAGAGAUGAAGAGCUUGCUCUUCAAAUCGAGUGGCGAACGGGUGAGUAACGCGUGAGGAACCUGCCUCAAAGAGGGGGACAACAGUUGGAAACGACUGCUAAUACCGCAUAAGCCCACGGCUCGGCAUCGAGCAGAGGGAAAAGGAGCAAUCCGCUUUGAGAUGGCCUCGCGUCCGAUUAGCUAGUUGGUGAGGUAACGGCCCACCAAGGCGACGAUCGGUAGCCGGACUGAGAGGUUGAACGGCCACAUUGGGACUGAGACACGGCCCAGACUCCUACGGGAGGCAGCAGUGGGGAAUAUUGCACAAUGGGGGAAACCCUGAUGUAGCGACGCCGCGUGGAGGAAGAAGGUCUUCGGAUUGUAAACUCCUGUUGUUGAGGAAGAUAAUGACGGUACUCAACAAGGAAGUGACGGCUAACUACGUGCCAGCAGCCGCGGUAAAACGUAGGUCACAAGCGUUGUCCGGAAUUACUGGGUGUAAAGGGAGCGCAGGCGGGAGAACAAGUUGGAAGUGAAAUCCAUGGGCUCAACCUAUGAACUGCUUUCAAAACUGUUUUUCUUGAGUAGUGCAGAGGUAGGCGGAAUUCCCGGUGUAGCGGUGGAAUGCGUAGAUAUCGGGAGGAACACCAGUGGCGAAGGCGGCCUACUGGGCACCAACUGACGCUGAGGCUCGAAAGUGUGGGUAGCAAACAGGAUUAGAUACCCUGGUAGUCCACACCGUAAACGA
RNAcentral lists this ribosomal RNA (768 nucleotides) under uncultured bacterium. Its description in RNAcentral is "bacterial SSU rRNA". It matches the Rfam family "Bacterial small subunit ribosomal RNA", at positions 28 to 809 of the family's 1533-position model. The record is from RNAcentral.